RNAcentral lists this small nuclear RNA (291 nucleotides) under Erinaceus europaeus (western European hedgehog). Its description in RNAcentral is "7SK RNA". It matches the Rfam family "7SK RNA". Rfam says of the family: 7SK was discovered as an abundant small nuclear RNA in the mid-70s but a possible function has only recently been suggested. Two independent studies have found that 7SK RNA binds the CDK9/cyclin T complex (known as elongation factor P-TEFb). P-TEFb activates transcription by phosphorylating the C-terminal domain of RNA polymerase II. The record is from Rfam by way of RNAcentral. Lineage: Eukaryota; Metazoa; Chordata; Mammalia; Eulipotyphla; Erinaceidae.
CGAUGUAAGGGCAAUCUGGCUUGCAACUUCUGUCACCAUACUGAUCACCAGGAUUGAUUUGGCCUAUCUGGCUGGCUAGGCAGGUGUCUACUUCCUCUCUCACCUGCUCCAUGUGCAUCCCUCCUGAGCUUCACAUUAGAGGACAACCCUCACUGAACAGAGACAGACCUGUCUUCAAUAGAGGGCAUGUGGCUAACUGCACUUCCCUGCUAGAUCCUCUAAACAAGCUCUCAAGAGAGUGAUGGAAAUGUUUAUUUCUCUGGCUUGAGAAGUGGCACAGUGGCUAAAGAA